This 77-nucleotide transfer RNA is filed under the name Flammeovirgaceae bacterium TMED262. RNAcentral describes it as "tRNA-Ala". It matches the Rfam family "tRNA". Rfam says of the family: Transfer RNA (tRNA) molecules are approximately 80 nucleotides in length. Their secondary structure includes four short double-helical elements and three loops (D, anti-codon, and T loops). Further hydrogen bonds mediate the characteristic L-shaped molecular structure. tRNAs have two regions of fundamental functional importance: the anti-codon, which is responsible for specific mRNA codon recognition, and the 3' end, to which the tRNAs corresponding amino acid is attached (by aminoacyl-tRNA synthetases). tRNAs cope with the degeneracy of the genetic code in two manners: having more than one tRNA (with a specific anti-codon) for a particular amino acid; and 'wobble' base-pairing, i.e. permitting non-standard base-pairing at the 3rd anti-codon position. Lineage: Bacteria; Pseudomonadati; Bacteroidota; Cytophagia; Cytophagales; Flammeovirgaceae. The record is from RNAcentral. RNAcentral also lists the same sequence under 3 other names.
GGGGCCAUAGCUCAGCUGGCUAGAGUGCUUGACUGGCAGUCAAGAGGUCGAGGGUUCGACUCCCUCUGGCUCCACUA